This 1914-nucleotide ribosomal RNA is filed under the name Malpighamoeba mellificae. Its description in RNAcentral is "SSU rRNA". It matches the Rfam family "Eukaryotic small subunit ribosomal RNA". The record is from RNAcentral. Lineage: Eukaryota; Tubulinea; Elardia; Euamoebida; Amoebidae.
GAUCCUGCCAGUAGUUAUAUGCUUGUCACGAUGAUUAAGCCAUGCAAGUGUAAGUAUAAGUUUUUUAUUUAUAGAAGACGAGACUGCGGACAGCUCAUUAGUGCAGUUUAAUUAAUCUAAGUAAUUAUAGAAUUAUAUGGAUAACCGUAGGAAAUCUAGGGCUAAUACAUGAAUUAUAUUAGUUUUGUUAGAAAUAGUGAGUAAUAACAAAAAAGUAUACAGAUUGUGUAAAAGCGAUUGGUAGAAAGUAUGAAAAUUGUUUAAGAGGAUUUAAAUGAGUAAUUACAAGAGGAUCUGCCCUAUCAACUAUGGUAGGUUAGAUAGAGGCUAACCUAGGUUAUAACGGGUGACGGGGAUUUAGAGUUUGAUUCCGGAGAGGGAGCCUGAGAAAUGGCUACCACUUCCACGGAAGGCAGCAGGCGCGUAAAUUACCCAAUUGUAAAUGAUUUAUAUAUUAAAUAUAUAUGUAUAUAUAGUAUUUGAUAUAUAAGUAUACAGAGGUAGAGAAAUGACGUAAAGGUGAUUUCGGUUAUGCCGAGAUAUGCUUUAAUGAUAAUGAGUUAAAAUAACAAUUAGAAGAAUUAAAUUGGAGGGCAAGUCUGGUGCCAGCAGCCGCGGUAAUUCCAGCUCCAAUAGUGUAUAUUAAAAUUGUUGAAGUUAAAAAGUUCGUAGUUGAAGUUUAUAUUUUUAUAUAAUGAUUUAAUGAUUUAUUUAUAAGUGGUUAAAGAUUUAUAUAUAAAUGUGUAAUAAAUAUAAUAUCUUAAUUAAAUUAUAGUGAUUGAAGGAAUAAUAAGUUUUAAUACGAUGUGAGUAACAAUUAGGGUAUAUGAUAGAUUUAAUAUAUGAUGAAUGAAAAUGAUUGGGAUUAGAUGUAUUGGUUGGCUAGAGGUGAAAUUCUAUGAUUCAAUCAAGACAAACUAAAGCGAAAGCAUUUAAUAAGAGUAAUUUUGUCAAUAAAGAACGAAGGGAUAAGGAUCGAAGAUGAUUAGAUACCGUCGUAGUUUAUCCAGUAAACGAUGAUAAUUAAAGGUUUGAUAUAUAUUAAACUAUUAUUUAGUUGUGUAAACAGUUAGAUGAUAAAAGUAUAUAUUAAGAAUUUUGAUGAGAAAUCGUUGAAUAUUUAUAUUUCUUGGGGAAGUAUGGUUGCAAAGCUGAAACUUAAAGGAAUUGACGGAAGGGCACCACCAGGAGUGGAGCCUGCGGCUUAAUUUGACUCAACACGGGAAACCUCACCAGGCCCGGACACCGGAAGGAUUGACAGAUUGAUAGCUCUUUCUUGAUUCGGUGGGUGGUGGUGCAUGGCCGUUCUUAGUUGGUGGAGCGAUUUGUCUGGUUAAUUCCGAUAACGAACGAGAUGAUAAAAAUAUGUUGUAUCUUGAAUGUUACAUAGAUCUGUGUCUAUAUAAUAUAUAAGAUAGAUCAUAUUUGAUUAAUUACGAUUAAAUUAUUAAGUAAUUUGAAAAGUAUCGCAAUAACAGGUCUGUGAUGCCCUUUGAUAUCUUGGGCUGCACGCGUGUUACAAUAAUAACAAGAGAAAGAUAUAAUAAGCUAAUAUAUAUAUUGACACUAUGUGUAUAUAUAUAUAUUAAAUAUAGCUAUAUGAAAUAUAGUUAAGAGCAUAUAAAAUGUUAUUUGAUUAGUUAGGGAUAGAUUAUUGUAAUUAUUAAUCUUGAACAAGGAAUUCCUAGUAAUUACAUGUCAUAAACAUGUGAUGAUUAAGUCCCUGCCCUUUGUACACACCGCCCGUCGCUCCUACCGAUUGGAUUAUGAGAUGAAAAUCAAGGAGUAGUCUACUAUGAUAUGUACAUAAGUAGAUAUAUAUAGUUAUAUUAUAAAUUGAUUUGAAUUUUAUAAUUUAGAGGAAGGAGAAGUCGUAACAAGGUCUCCGUAGGUGAACCUGCGGAGGGAUCAUUA